RNAcentral lists this ribosomal RNA (440 nucleotides) under uncultured bacterium. RNAcentral describes it as "partial 16S ribosomal RNA". It matches the Rfam family "Bacterial small subunit ribosomal RNA", at positions 338 to 795 of the family's 1533-position model. The record is from RNAcentral.
CCUACGGGAGGCAGCAGUGGGGAAUAUUGCACAAUGGGGGAAACCCUGAUGCAGCGACGCCGCGUGAAGGAAGAAGUAUUUCGGUAUGUAAACUUCUAUCAGCAGGGAAGAAAAUGACGGUACCUGACUAAGAAGCCCCGGCUAACUACGUGCCAGCAGCCGCGGUAAUACGUAGGGGGCAAGCGUUAUCCGGAUUUACUGGGUGUAAAGGGAGCGUAGGCGGUGCAGCAAGUCAGAAGUGAAAGCCCGGGGCGCAACGCCGGGACUGCUUUUGAAACUGUUGAACUAGAGUGCAGGAGAGGUAGGCGGAAUUCCUGGUGUAGCGGUGAAAUGCGUAGAUAUUAGGAGGAACACCAGUGGCGAAGGCGGCUUACUGGACUGUAAAUGACGCUGAGGCUCGAAAGCGUGGGGAGCAAACAGGAUUAGAUACCCCAGUAGUC